UUUUUUUCCCCUGUCCGUUUCUCCCACUUCCUCCCCGGUCGUGGGAGAGGUCCGGCGGGGGACAGGGAAGGGGGAGCAGGGCACGAGUGGUGAGAACGUCCUGGCCCGGCCCGGGGAGGGCUGGCUGGUGCGACCGCGCGCCUGGGGGGGGGGGGGAGGGCUCCAGGACUCAGUUUCCCCUUCCUCAUUCCUCCAGACAGAGAGAGUACUGACAGCUGCUUUAGCUGCCGUUUAGUGAGCGCUUAUCCAGUGGGUGACCCUGUUCCGGGGCUCACUGUGCCUUCAUUCUAACACCUAAUCCCAGGGUCAUUAUUAUGUUUUAUUAUUAUCUGGCAUUCUUAGUACCAACACCACCUGACAGCGGGAACCACCACCGGCCUGGGUGUAGUGUACCCAGCCUGUCCUCUGACUUCAAAGCCUCUCCUGCGAGAGACACAGUUUAUGGCUUCUUCGCACAAUUUAUUAAAAGCGCCUUUCAACACCCAAACGGGUUGGAUUGGCUUUUGUAAUAAUAAUCUGGCUACGAGGGGAAACCCGGGAGGGCCCCCCGGAGGGGAAGUGGACUGUCUCAGGACUCGCAGCCUGAAACCAGCCGGGUAGGUGGGAAGGGACCCAGGGAGGGGCCGCGUGGAUCUAGGGCGAGGGUGUCAUCCAGGGACUUUGCUCCAAGGACCCUGCCUGGGAUAGAAAUCCUUCUUCCUUCAACCACCGGCCAUCAGCCUCGGGACCAGGAGGCCACGCUGAAGCACGAUUCUUCCCAGAUCCCACUGUUGUGUUUGGAUUUCUGCAAAUGAUGCCCAGACGUUUUUUUUUGUUUUGUUUUUUUGUUUUUUGUUUUAGACAGACUUGCUCUGUCGCCCAGCCUGGAGUGCAAUGGCACGAUCUUGGCUUACUGCAAUCUCCGCCUCCCGGGUUCAAGCGAUUCCCCUGUUUUUUGUAUUUUUAGUAGAUACAGAGUUUUGCCAUGUUGGCAAGCCUGGUCUCAAACUCUUGACUUCAGGUGAUCCAACCACCUUGGCCUCCCAAAGGGCUGGGAUUACAGGCGUGAGCCACCGUGGCUGGCCUUGGUUUUUUUUGUUUGUUUGUUUUGUUUUUUGUUUUUUUAAUAGAGAUUUGGUGGGGCCGUGGGGGGGUCUUGCUAUGUUUCCCAGGUCUCAAACUCCUGGGCUUCAGUGUUCCUCCCACCUGAGCCUCCCACAGUGCUGAGAUGACAGGAAUGAACCAUCGUGCCAGCGAGACGCCCAGGCUCUAAGCUCUACAUGGUCUAACUUCCCCCACACCAGGAGCAGCAGGUGACUCAGUUUCCCCUCUUGUACCACCAGCCUCAGAUCCGAUCCUGCAGGAAAAGGAUCGAGAAAGCCCCACUCGGAUUCUCCAUGGUGAGAACCUGACUCAGAGGGGCAGGGGCUCCUCUGUGAGACGGGCAUGGACCCUAAUCCUCAUCGCAGCCCUGAGAAGAAGCAGAGACUACAAUUUCCACCAUACAGUUGGGGAAACUGAGGCCCAGAGAUGGACAAGGAGCAAGGAUGUUAAGUCCAGCAUUCGCGUGUCUCUGGACGCUGCCAGGGGGACCAAAGGGAGGUCCUUCAGGAAGUGCCAGGAUGUGGCACACCCCAAACCACGCCCCCCGCCCCUGUCAUGAAAACAGAACGAAGGGGACCCAAAGCUUCCUCCUGACCUCUGCCCUUCACUUCCUUUUUCCUCCCCCAACCAAAAAAAAAAAAAAAAAAAAAAAACCCGAGUUGAUACUAUUGAAAACCUAAUAAAGUAUAAAAGAUUGGGUUGCUGUGUGAUCUUGGGCAGGUUGCUUAACCUCUCUGAUCCUCAGACUCCUUUGGAGAGAAGAAUCGAUGCAACUUCCUAGUGUUGUGACAAGGGAGAAAUGAGACGGUGCAUGGAACGCUGAGACAGCACAACCCCUGCACCAGGGAGGUCUUCAUUACAUGAUAGGUGUGAUUAUAUUAUUAAUGUUUGAGUCACGCCUAUUAUUUUUGUCUCUGUGUAGCCAGGGGUUUUCUGUUUGUCUGUUUGUUUGUUUGUUUAUUUGUUUGUGAGACAGAGGUUCACUCUUAUUGCCCAGGCUGGAGUGUAAUGGCACGAUCUCGGCUCACCACAACCUCUGCCUCUCAGGUUCAAGCGAUUUUCCUGCCUCAACCUCCCAAGUAGCUGGGAUUACAGGCAUACGCC
Molecule: long non-coding RNA, 2187 nt
Filed under: Homo sapiens (human)
Lineage: Eukaryota; Metazoa; Chordata; Mammalia; Primates; Hominidae
Description: HSALNT0254700
Source: RNAcentral